RNAcentral lists this non-coding RNA (24 nucleotides) under Arabidopsis thaliana (thale cress). Lineage: Eukaryota; Viridiplantae; Streptophyta; Magnoliopsida; Brassicales; Brassicaceae. The record is from RNAcentral.
UUAAGGUUUUGGUUAUGACGGCAA